This is a long non-coding RNA of Myotis daubentonii (Daubenton's bat), 669 nucleotides long. RefSeq lists it as uncharacterized. The record is from RefSeq and is a predicted model, not a curated record. Lineage: Eukaryota; Metazoa; Chordata; Mammalia; Chiroptera; Vespertilionidae.
CGUGCGGUAGCUGGGCCCAGCGGCCGCCUCUUCGGCCGCCGGGGCAUCUGUUGCGUCCCCGGCGGCUUCGUGGGGCUCUGAGGGAGCUGCAGCCUCUUCCAUUGCACCUUUUGCCCCCUGAAAGGGUGCCAAGACGUGUCCGGUGCCCCCUGCGUGCGGGCUUGAAGCCCGGAGGCCAAGGAGCCGUCCCGGAGCUCCAGACGGGAAGGUGCCUGCAACUCAGAUAGGAUCAUAUUCAUCCUUGGACCCUCCAGCCCUCUCACCAGGACACCUGGGAGGCCUGCAUCUUCACUCCCAGCUGAUUGGUUAAGGAGCUGUCGGGGAGGGAGACUCCUGAGCCAGUGUGCCAAUGACAGUCCCUCCAAGCACGCAUCCUGCCUGAAACCUCAUUAGAGCGGAACGGGCUUCUGUGGAGCGCAGCGGCCUGGCGCCCAGACGGCAGCAUCUCGACUGCAAUCGGCACAGCGCAGCCGGCCGGCGGGCACAGCCUGCGAGUGUCCUGGUGCCAGGUAGGGACGACUCCGGGGGACAAGCCCACAGAACCGGCAGGCAGGCUGCUGUCUGCAUUCCCGGAGGGGGUCCCCGGCCUCCCCUCUCCAUCCAGGGACACCUACUCGCUGGCUUAGCCCCUCAGCUCUCUGUCUGCUCCCUGACAAGGUGUCACAGCUC